Molecule: long non-coding RNA, 666 nt
Organism: Calidris pugnax (ruff)
Lineage: Eukaryota; Metazoa; Chordata; Aves; Charadriiformes; Scolopacidae
Exons: 4
Source: RefSeq, a predicted model, not a curated record
UGUCACGGCCAGGCACUGGCUGUGGUGUGGAGGGAGCUCAUUACACUGCUGGGAGGAUUUUCAGGCUUGCUGUGAUUAAUUACAAAGAUAAAGUAAACCAAAACAGGUUAUUUGCAGGAAGGAAAGCAAGGCCAAGCUGAGGGCUGCUGGGCCUGGAGCCCCCUUGGCUGAAAUCCCAAAUGCUCCCCACUCCAUGAGGAUGCUGCUGGCCCCUGGUGCCUGCAUGGCCCCAGAGCUUGGUGGUGCUACCAGCUGAGAGCCAGGACUUCCCCAGGAUUCAAGGAAACAUCUACUUCUUGGUCAACUGGAAAAUAAUGCCUUACCCUUGGGUGACCAUGAACGAAACAGGAGCUCACUGAUUCUGGUCCAUCUUUCUUAGUCUCUUUACAGCUUAAGGACUGAGAAAAGAAUUGUGAAUAAUUGUAAAUGACUUGUGACAGCCGUGUUUCCUUUAUUGCUGCUCUGAGUGAAGCUGCUUGGUUGGGACAGCUUCCUAAGCCCUAUGGAUGGAGCACAUAGACAACCAGCAUGGCAGGAUGGAAACCUCACUCCAGGAGUACGCUACACAGCUGACACUUAGGUUUGGUUGGAAAUUUUUCAGCAAAUCAAAAUUUUGUUGGAAACCUCCCCACCGCUUUCAGGGUCCAAGAUACCCAGGCUCCUGAA